GAUGAACGCUGGCGGCGUGCCUAAUACAUGCAAGUAGAGCGCUGAAGGAAGGAGCUUGCUCUUUCCGGAUGAGUUGCGAACGGGUGAGUAACGCGUAGGUAACCUGCCUGGUAGCGGGGGAUAACUAUUGGAAACGAUAGCUAAUACCGCAUAACAGUAGAUGUUGCAUGAUAUCUACUUAAAAGGUGCAAUUGCACCACUACCAGAUGGACCUGCGUUGUAUUAGCUAGUUGGUGAGGUAACGGCUCACCAAGGCGACGAUACAUAGCCGACCUGAGAGGGUGAUCGGCCACACUGGGACUGAGACACGGCCCAGACUCCUACGGGAGGCAGCAGUAGGGAAUCUUCGGCAAUGGACGGAAGUCUGACCGAGCAACGCCGCGUGAGUGAAGAAGGUUCUCGGAUCGUAAAGCUCUGUUGUAAGAGAAGAACGAGUGUGAGAGUGGAAAGUUCACACUGUGACGGUAUCUUACCAGAAAGGGACGGCUAACUACGUG
This 497-nucleotide ribosomal RNA is filed under the name uncultured bacterium. RNAcentral's name for it is "partial 16S ribosomal RNA". It matches the Rfam family "Bacterial small subunit ribosomal RNA", at positions 28 to 507 of the family's 1533-position model. The record is from RNAcentral.